This is a long non-coding RNA of Numida meleagris (helmeted guineafowl), 239 nucleotides long. RefSeq lists it as uncharacterized. NCBI's taxonomy places the organism in Eukaryota, Metazoa, Chordata, Aves, Galliformes, Numididae. The transcript has 3 exons. The record is from RefSeq and is a predicted model, not a curated record.
UCCCUCCUUCACUCCCCCUGCCCAGAAAAUGUCUGUCUUGGGGAAAGAGUAUAUUUCUAAGGAUAUUCCAAACCAUUUGAGAACUGUGGCAUUUUCCUUUGAAGUCCGAAUGAAGUCACAGUGGAUCCUUGCGCUGGAGCUUCAAGCUGGCUGCCAGAGCAGUCCCAGCUUUCACCUGGAGGACCUGCCCAGGAUAGAGUCUACUGGGCAGCGAGGACGCAGCCACUGCCUGCUCCCAG